RNAcentral lists this long non-coding RNA (691 nucleotides) under Setaria viridis. RNAcentral describes it as "long non-coding RNA (SVIR_LNC001254)". The record is from RNAcentral. Lineage: Eukaryota; Viridiplantae; Streptophyta; Magnoliopsida; Poales; Poaceae.
AAGCUAAUAUCACCAAUUUAUCAGCAAUACAGCAGCUUUGCAAAGAAAUGACAUUACGGUUUCUUACAAUAGAAAUUAAAUAGGUUUCUUACAAUAGAAAUUAAAUAGGUUUCUUACAAUAGAAAUUAAAUAAAUUAAAAGCGAGAGGCAACCAUAAAACUCGGUCAAGCAACAAAUAUGAGGAACAAAGGAAAGAUAACCUCACAUAGUGCAUAAGACACAUUUCAAACAAAUUGAUCAUACUGGCACACAACACACACUUUGACAGUAUAAGUGUUGACAAAACUAUUUUCUGACCAGAAUUAGUUUUACCAGAACAAUAACAGAAAUCCACAUUAGAGUCAACAUGAACAUAUUUCCAGCAACUUUGAGCGUAAUUAACUUUUACAUAAAUACAUAACACUGGAACUAAUAUCGAUCCAGCCCAACAGCCAAAACCAGACAUUGAGGCUCAGCCUGACACCAACUUCACAACAAUGAUAAGAACAUUAAGGGCUAUCAAGGGCAUCCUCAGAAAUUGCGUAGCGUAGAUAAGACCCACGAUCUGGCCCUUCAACGACUUUGUUUGCCCAUUUCCUGACACCUCAGACAUGCUCCAUCCCCUGGGAGCAAGAAAACGAUCUUCGUUCAGUAUUGCCAACGCAUUUGCGAGAAGCAAAAAACCCUCCAGCAACGUCCACAGGCCCAUUCC